AACCAUAGAAACCUGCGGAGUACCUGCGGAGGGAUCAUUAUAGUAUAUGGAAUCUCCAUUCUAUAAACCCACUCUGCGUAUCUUGUAACUGUUGCUUCCGUGGGACUUGGUUCCGCCACACCGGCUUCACGGCUGGUGAGCGCCCAUGGAAGGAGAAACAAAACUCUUCUUUGAAAUGUAGUCAGUCUGAACAAGUUUUUAUAAACGUUAAAACUUUUAACAAUGGAUCUCAGAUCGGAA
Molecule: unclassified non-coding RNA, 240 nt
Filed under: soil metagenome
Description: partial contains 5.8S ribosomal RNA, internal transcribed spacer 2, and large subunit ribosomal RNA
Source: RNAcentral